GGGAGAAUAAAGCGAAGUGAUGGAUCGUUUCGUGAUGUUAGUGGGGAUAUAGCAGCUAUUGAGGCAAUUGUACGCAAACUUUCAAGCAGGUCCACUGACGAUCGGAGGGCUGCAGUAGCGGAGAUCCGGUCUCUAUCCAAAAGAAGCACAGACAACAGAGUUUUGAUUGCUGAAGCUGGAGCAAUCCCGUUAUUGGUCAACUUGUUGACAUCUGAAGACAGUCAAAUCCAAGAAAAUGCUGUCACUUCUAUUCUUAACCUUUCUAUAUUUGGCAACAACAAGGGGCUUAUCAUGCUUGCCGAUGCUGUUCCUUCAUUGUUCAAGUUCUCAGAGCUGGAAGCAUGGAAGCAAAAGAAAAUGCAGCAGCGACCAUCUUUAGUUUAUCACUUGGAGAUGAGAACAAAAUUAUAAUAGGUGCAUCGGGGGCCAUCCCAGCUCUGGUAGAAUUGCUUCAGACUGGAAGCACCAGAGGGAAGAAAGACGCUGCAACAGCAUUAUUUAACUUGUGCAUAUAUCAAGGAAACAAG
Molecule: unclassified non-coding RNA, 527 nt
Filed under: Hevea brasiliensis (rubber tree)
Lineage: Eukaryota; Viridiplantae; Streptophyta; Magnoliopsida; Malpighiales; Euphorbiaceae
Source: RNAcentral